GUGGGGAAUAUUGCGCAAUGGGGGAAACCCUGACGCAGCGACGCCGAGUGAGGGAAGAAGGCUUUCGGGUCGUAAACCUCUGUCAGAAAGGAAGAACCUCCCAAGUCCGAAUAGGGCUUGGGACUGACGGUACUUUCAAAGGAAGCACCGGCUAACUCCGUGCCAGCAGCCGCGGUAAUACGGAGGGUGCAAGCGUUAAUCGGAAUCACUGGGCGUAAAGCGCGCGUAGGCCGCUUUGUAAGUCGGACGUGAAAGCCCUCGGCUCAACCGGGGAACUGCGUUCGAUACUGCGAGGCUUGAGUCCUGGAGAGGGUGGCGGAAUUCCGGGUAUAGGAGUGAAAUCCGUAGAUAUCCGGAGGAACACCGGUGGCGAAGGCGGCCACCUGGACAGGUACUGACGCUGAGGCGCGAAAGCGUGGGGAGCAAACAGGAUUAGAAACCCCGGUAGUCC
RNAcentral lists this ribosomal RNA (451 nucleotides) under uncultured bacterium. RNAcentral's name for it is "partial 16S ribosomal RNA". It matches the Rfam family "Bacterial small subunit ribosomal RNA", at positions 354 to 796 of the family's 1533-position model. The record is from RNAcentral.